RNAcentral lists this ribosomal RNA (502 nucleotides) under uncultured bacterium. RNAcentral's name for it is "partial 16S ribosomal RNA". It matches the Rfam family "Bacterial small subunit ribosomal RNA", at positions 30 to 523 of the family's 1533-position model. The record is from RNAcentral.
AUUGAACGCUGGCGGCAUGCCUUACACAUGCAAGUCGAACGGCAGCACGGGAGCUUGCUCCUGGUGGCGAGUGGCGAACGGGUGAGUAAUACAUCGGAACGUACCCAGGAGUGGGGGAUAACGUAGCGAAAGUUACGCUAAUACCGCAUAUUCUGUGAGCAGGAAAGCGGGGGAUCGCAAGACCUCGCGCUCUUGGAGCGGCCGAUGUCGGAUUAGCUAGUUGGUGAGGUAAAAGCUCACCAAGGCGACGAUCCGUAGCAGGCCUGAGAGGAUGAUCUGCCCAACUGGGACUGAGAAACGGCCCAGACUCCUACGGGAGGCAGAAGUGGGGAAUUUUGGACAAUGGGGGCAACCCUGAUCCAGCCAUGCCGCGUGAGUGAAGAAGGCCUUCGGGUUGUAAAGCUCUUUCGGCGGGGAAGAAAUGGCAACGGCUAAUAUCCGUUGUUGAUGACGGUACCCGCAUAGGAAGCACCGGCUAACUACGUGCCAGCCGCCGCGGUAA